AGAGCGAACGCUGGCGGCGUACUUAACACAUGCAAGUCGAACGAGGAUCAUCGGGUUAGCAAUAAUUCGGUGGUCCUAGUGGCGCACGGGUGAGUAACACGUGGGUGACCUGCCCUUGAGCUCGGGAUACCCCCUCGAAAGGGGGGCUAAUACCGGAUACGUUCCUCGGUCGAAAGACUGAGGAGGAAAGGUGGCGCAAGCUGCCGCUCUUGGAGGGGCUCGCGGCCUAUCAGCUAGUUGGCGGGUAACGCCCACCAAGGCUAUGACGGUAGCUGGUCUGAGAGACGACCAGCCACACGGGGACUGAGACACGGCCCCGACUCCUAACGGGAGGCAGCAGUGGGGAAUUUCCGCAAUGGGCGAAAGCCUGACGGAGUGACGCCGCGUGUGGACGAAGGCCUGGUCGUAAACCACGUAGCGUAGUACGGAAGAGUAGGUGUCGGUCGCGAAGUACCGACCGGACCUACGU
RNAcentral lists this ribosomal RNA (469 nucleotides) under uncultured soil bacterium. RNAcentral's name for it is "bacterial SSU rRNA". It matches the Rfam family "Bacterial small subunit ribosomal RNA", at positions 26 to 484 of the family's 1533-position model. The record is from RNAcentral.